RNAcentral lists this ribosomal RNA (200 nucleotides) under uncultured bacterium. Its description in RNAcentral is "partial 16S ribosomal RNA". It matches the Rfam family "Bacterial small subunit ribosomal RNA", at positions 29 to 257 of the family's 1533-position model. The record is from RNAcentral.
AGCGAACGCUGGCGGCAGGCCUAACACAUGCAAGUCGAACGCACCUUCGGGAUUAGUGGCGGACGGGUGAGUAACACGUGGGAACGUGCCUUUUGGUUCGGAACAACUCAGGGAAACUUGAGCUAAUACCGGAUAAGCCUUUCGAGGGAAAGAUUUAUCGCCAUUAGAGCGGCCCGCGUAGGAUUAGCUAGUUGGUGGGG